Molecule: ribosomal RNA, 468 nt
Filed under: uncultured bacterium
Lineage: Bacteria
Description: partial 16S ribosomal RNA
Rfam family: Bacterial small subunit ribosomal RNA
Source: RNAcentral
GACGAACGCUGGCGGCGUGCUUAACACAUGCAAGUCGAACGGAAAGGCCCUGCUUUUGUGGGGUGCUCGAGUGGCGAACGGGUGAGUAACACGUGAGUAACCUGCCCUUGACUUUGGGAUAACUUCAGGAAACUGGGGCUAAUACCGGAUAGGAGCUCCUGCUGCAUGGUGGGGGUUGGAAAGUUUCGGCGGUUGUGGAUGGACUCGCGGCUUAUGAGCUUGUUGGUGGGGUAGUGGCAUACGAAGGCUUUGAGGGGUAGGCGGCCUGAGAGGGGGGACGGCGUCAUUGGGACUGAGAGACGGCGCAGACUCGUACGGGCGGCAGCAGGGGGGAAUAUUGCACAACGGGGGGAAGCCUGAGGCAGCAAUGCCGCGUGCGGGAUGACGGCUUUCGGGUGGUAAACCGCUGUCGCCGGUGACGAAGCGUUAGUGACGGUACUGGGUAAAGAAGCACCGGCUAACUACGUG